Molecule: ribosomal RNA, 253 nt
Filed under: uncultured bacterium
Lineage: Bacteria
Description: partial 16S ribosomal RNA
Rfam family: Bacterial small subunit ribosomal RNA
Source: RNAcentral
UACGGAGGGGGCUAGCGUUGUUCGGAAUUACUGGGCGUAAAGCGCGCGUAGGCGGCUUUGCAAGUCAGAGGUGAAAGCCUGGAGCUCAACUCCAGAACUGCCUUUGAAACUGCAUCGCUAGAAUCAUGGAGAGGUUAGUGGAAUUCCGAGUGUAGAGGUGAAAUUCGUAGAUAUUCGGAAGAACACCAGUGGCGAAGGCGCGUUUCUGGCCGGUUCCUGACGCUGAGGCGCGAAAGCUAGGGGAGCAAACGGG